This 476-nucleotide ribosomal RNA is filed under the name uncultured bacterium. Its description in RNAcentral is "bacterial SSU rRNA". It matches the Rfam family "Bacterial small subunit ribosomal RNA", at positions 28 to 507 of the family's 1533-position model. The record is from RNAcentral.
GACGAACGCUGGCGGCGUGCCUAACACAUGCAAGUCGAGCGGAGACAGAUUUGAGCUUGCUUAGAUCUGUUUUAGCGGCGGACGGGUGAGUAACGCGUGAGCAACCUUUCUCUCAGUGGGGAAUAACACAGGGAAACUUGUACUAAUACCGCAUAAGCGCACAGCAUCGCAUGAUGCAGUGUAGAAAAACUCCGGUGGUAUGAGAUGGACCCGCGUCUGAUUAGCUAGUUGGUGGGGUAAAAGCCUACCAAGGCGACGAUCAGUAGCCGGCCUGAGAGGGUGAACGGCCACAUUGGGACUGAGACACGGACCCAAACUCCUACGGGGAGGCAGCAGGUGGGGAAUUAGUUGGGCAAUGGGGGAAACCCUGACCCAGCAACGCCGCGUGGAGGAAGAAGGUUUUCGGAUCGUAAACUCCUGUCCUCAAGGAAGAGCAGAAGACGGUACUUGAGGAGGAAGCCCCGGCUAACUACGUG